CUGGCGGCGUGGAUAAGACAUGCAAGUCGUGCGACAGACCAGGAAUUGAUUACUUCGGUUUGAUUUUCCUGACGAUGAGCGGCGAACGGGUGCGUAACACGUGAGAAAUCUGCCCUUAAGUUCGGGAUAGCCCUACGAAAGUAGAAUUAAUACCGGAUGUGGCCCAGGGAGGGCAUCUUCCCCUGGCUAAAGCUCGGUUAUAGAGCGCUUUUGGAUGAUCUCGCGGUCUAUCAGCUUGUUGGUGAGGUAAUGGCUCACCAAGGCUAUGACGGAUAGCUGGUCUGAGAGGAUGAUCAGCCUCACUGGAACUGAGACACGGUCCAGACACCUACGGGUGGCAGCAGUCGAGAAUCAUUCACAAUGGGCGCAAGCCUGAUGGUGCGACGCCGCGUGGGGGAUGAAGGGCUUCGGUUCGUAAACCCCUGUCAUCUGUGAGUAAGACUCCCAAUAAAAGCUUGGGAGGUUGAUAUUAGCAGAAGAGGAAGGGACGGCUAACUCUGUGCCAGCAGCCGCGGUAAUACAGAGGUCCCAAGCGUUGUUCGGAUUUACUGGGCGUAAAGGGUGCGUAGGCGGCUAGAAAAGUUUGGUGUGAAAUCUUCGGGCUUAACCCGGAAACUGCACUGAAAACUAUCUGGCUAGAGGAUCGGAGAGGAGAUUGGAAUUCUCGGUGUAGCAGUGAAAUGCGUAGAUAUCGAGAGGAACACCAGUUGCGAAGGCGGAUCUCUGGACGGUUUCUGACGCUGAGGCACGAAAGCUGGGGUAGCGAAGAGGAUUAGAUACCCUCGUAGUCCCAGCCGUAAACGGUGCACACUUGCUGUGGGCGGAUUCGACCCCGUCCGUGGCGAAGCUAACGCGAUAAGUGUGCCGCCUGGGGAGUACGGUCGCA
RNAcentral lists this ribosomal RNA (886 nucleotides) under Verrucomicrobia bacterium SCGC AAA007-C05. RNAcentral describes it as "SSU rRNA". It matches the Rfam family "Bacterial small subunit ribosomal RNA", at positions 36 to 890 of the family's 1533-position model. The record is from RNAcentral. Lineage: Bacteria; Pseudomonadati; Verrucomicrobiota.